GUCUAAUACCGGAUAGGAGCGUCCACCGCAUGGUGGGUGUUGGAAAGAUUUAUCGGUUUUGGAUGGACUCGCGGCCUAUCAGCUUGUUGGUGAGGUAAUGGCUCACCAAGGCGACGACGGGUAGCCGGCCUGAGAGGGUGACCGGCCACACUGGGACUGAGACACGGCCCAGACUCCUACGGGAGGCAGCAGUGGGGAAUAUUGCACAAUGGGCGCAAGCCUGAUGCAGCGACGCCGCGUGAGGGAUGACGGCCUUCGGGUUGUAAACCUCUUUCAGUAGGGAAGAAGCGAAAGUGACGGUACCUGCAGAAGAAGCACCGGCUAACUACGUGCCAGCAGCCGCGGGUAAUACGUAGGGUGCGAGCGUUAUCCGGAAUUAUUGGGCGUAAAGAGCUCGUAGGCGGUUUGUCGCGUCUGUCGUGAAAGUCCGGGGCUUAACCCCGGAAUCUUGCGGUGGGUACGGGCAGACUAGAGUGCAGUAGGGGAGACUGGAAAUUCCUGGUGUAGCGGGUGGAAUGCGCAGAUAUCAGGAAGGAAACACCGAUGGGCGAAGGCAGGUCUCUGGGGCUGUAACUGAACGCUAGAAGGAGCGAAAGCAUGGGGAGCGAAACAGGAUUUA
Molecule: ribosomal RNA, 619 nt
Rfam family: Bacterial small subunit ribosomal RNA